RNAcentral lists this long non-coding RNA (917 nucleotides) under Homo sapiens (human). RNAcentral's name for it is "HSALNT0390699". Lineage: Eukaryota; Metazoa; Chordata; Mammalia; Primates; Hominidae. The record is from RNAcentral.
CGUGGCAGGCCAGGGUGGUGUCGGGAAAUGCAACAGUUGGGCAGGAAAUGUCUGUCCUCACCUAGGUCCGUGGGGUGGAUCCCUAACAAGGGACCACGCCCUCCUCUACCCUGCACUUCCCUUCCCCGGUUUCCUAUUAUUUAAAGAGACCAGGGUCUUCCCUUCCCAGCACUCCCAUAUUAAUUCCACGCAAGUGGAAGUCACCAACAGCUACACCAGCAUUGUCAGAAGGAAUAUUAAUUAAACUGCUGUCGCUGCAGAUUGUGACUGGGGGCCUGUUUGCUUGGAUGUAGGAACAAUUGGAGAAAUUCCAUCGCUGCCCAGCUGACACUGGUGGUCAGCUGCUAAUGACCCUUCCGCUGGAGAGAAGAGGAAGUGGGCUUGGCUCUAACUUGCCCUGAUCCCCUUCCAGCCUGACAUUUCUAUGCACAGAGAACUAAUGGAGUCAGACCAGACUGCAAAUUCCCAUGCUGCCAUGCAGAAGCCAGGAGUAUGAAAUCAAGGUGUCAGAGGGGCUGUACUCCCUCCGAAGGCUGCAGGAGAAAAUCUAUUGCUUGCCUCUUCUACCUUUUGGUGGUUCCAGGAGUUCCUUGGCUUGUGAUCACAUCACUGAAAUCUUAACCUACCUGGUCAUACUGCUGCCUCUUCUUCUCUCUCAAAACUUCUCCUGCCUCUCUUCAUACUUGUGAUUGCAUUUAGGGUCCAUCUGGGUACUCCAGGAAAAACUCCUACUGUCAAGAUUUAACUUAAUCAUAUCUUAUGUCAUAUAAAGUCAUGUUCAAUAUUUUACAACAUAAAAUAAUAGUCACAGUUUCUGGAGAUAAGGACAUGGGCGUGUCUUUUGGGGGAUCAUCCUUCAAUCCAUUGCAUCUAUCUAUCAGUGAUCACCCCAACCCAAAUAAACCCGCAUAAUAUUU